GCCUCUCACAGUGCCGAGUCUC
RNAcentral lists this unclassified non-coding RNA (22 nucleotides) under Mus musculus (house mouse). RNAcentral describes it as "oocyte_clustered_small_RNA11292". Lineage: Eukaryota; Metazoa; Chordata; Mammalia; Rodentia; Muridae. The record is from RNAcentral.